This is a long non-coding RNA of Diprion similis, 247 nucleotides long. RefSeq lists it as uncharacterized. The transcript has 3 exons. The record is from RefSeq and is a predicted model, not a curated record. Lineage: Eukaryota; Metazoa; Arthropoda; Insecta; Hymenoptera; Diprionidae.
CACAACUGCAUAUAAGAACUCCAACUCGACCCUGAGUUCUCGCAGUUACUUCUCAACUUCCGCCUGCUCUCUGCUUGAGCCGAUCGACUAUCGGGAAUCUGCUAUUUGCCCGGAUUCUCAGACCUUAUAAAUCGUCUCGCCACUGCAGGGAUGCGGAACAAGGCGCAACGGCGGCCCGUCGCUUCUUGGAUUAAUAGCACGAGUGCGGGUCGCCGAUUUCGCAAUCCCUUGCAGAGGUGAGUCGAUA